ACAAAAUCAAAAUGUCAAAAAUUUUUAUAACGAUUUCUAUUUGUCUUUUUUUUGCAGGAUUUAUUUAUACAUGUGGUGGAACUUUAAAAGGACUUAAUGGCACCAUAGAAAGCCCUGGUUUUCCAUAUGGAUAUCCAAAUGGUGCGAACUGUACAUGGGUAAUAAUAGCAGAAGAACGAAAUAGAAUACAAAUUGUUUUUCAGUCAUUUGCACUAGAAGAGGAAUACGACUACUUAUCUUUAUAUGAUGGACAUCCUCAUCCUACGAACUUUAGGACAAGGUUAACAGGAUUCCACCUACCACCACCAGUGACAAGUACCAAAUCCGUGUUCUCACUACGGUUGACCAGUGACUUUGCUGUUAGUGCUCAUGGAUUUAAAGUAUAUUAUGAAGGUAAGUGAUGAUAAUAUAAAAGAUACCAAUUCCCAUACAUAUGUAAACAGGAGUUCUCCGAGUGUGAUAAUGGAAGACUACUUACUAUAGAAGCAUAAUGAAUGUUGUUGUUCACAUAUUUGUCCGAAAUCUUGUGAAGAGAUGGC
RNAcentral lists this long non-coding RNA (539 nucleotides) under Rattus norvegicus (Norway rat). RNAcentral describes it as "long non-coding RNA NONRATT033549". The record is from RNAcentral. Lineage: Eukaryota; Metazoa; Chordata; Mammalia; Rodentia; Muridae.